UACGGAGGAUGCGAGCGUUAUCCGGAUUUAUUGGGUUUAAAGGGUGCGUAGGCGGAUUUAUAAGUCAGUGGUGAAACCCUGCAGCUUAACUGUAGACUUGCCAUUGAUACUGUUGGUCUUGAGUGUGGUCAAGGCAGGCGGAAUGUGUAAUGUAGCGGUGAAAUGCUUAGAUAUUACACAGAACACCGAUUGCGAAGGCAGCUUGCUGGGCCGUUACUGACGCUGAUGCACGAAAGCGUGGGGAUCGAACAGGAUUAGAUACCCUGGUAGUCCACGCCGUAAACGAUGAUCACUAGCUGUUGGCGAUAUACAGUCAGCGGCAAAGCAAAAGCAUUAAGUGAUCCACCUGGGGAGUACGGCCGCAAGGCUGAAACUCAAAGGAAUUGACGGGGGCCCGCACAAGCGGAGGAACAUGUGGUUUAAUUCGAUGAUACGCGAGGAACCUUACCUGGGCUUAAAUGUAGAUUGCAUUGGUGGGAAACCAUCAUUCCCUUCGGGGCUAUCUGCAAGGUGCUGCAUGGUUGUCGUCAGCUCGUGCCGUGAGGUGUCGGGUUAAGUCCCAUAACGAGCGCAACCCUUAUCGUUAGUUGCCAGCGGGUAAAGCCGGGAACUCUAGCGAAACUGCCGGUGUAAACCGAGAGGAAGGUGGGGAUGACGUCAAAUCAGCACGGCCCUUAUGUCCAGGGCUACACACGUGUUACAAUGGCCGGUACAGAGGGCAGCUAUGCUGUGAGGCAAUGCGAAUCUCGAAAGCCGGUCUCAGUUCGGAUCGGAGUCUGCAACCCGACUCCGUGAAGCUGGAUUCGCUAGUAAUCGCGCAUCAGCCAUGGCGCGGUGAAUACGUUCCCGGGCCU
RNAcentral lists this ribosomal RNA (854 nucleotides) under uncultured bacterium. RNAcentral's name for it is "SSU rRNA". It matches the Rfam family "Bacterial small subunit ribosomal RNA", at positions 524 to 1381 of the family's 1533-position model. The record is from RNAcentral.